UACGAAGGUGGCAAGCGUUGUUCGGAUUUACUGGGCGUAAAGGGAGCGUAGGUGGUUAGGUAAGCCCUCCGGGAAAUCUUCAGGCUUAACCUGAAAAGGUCGGGGGGGACUGCCUGGCUAGAGGACGGGAGAGGAGCGCGGAAUUCCCGGUGUAGCGGUGAAAUGCGUAGAUAUCUGGAGGAAUACCGGUGGCGAAGGCGGCAUCCUGGACCAUUACUGACGCUGAGGCGCGAAAGCUAGGGGAGCAAACGGG
Molecule: ribosomal RNA, 253 nt
Filed under: uncultured bacterium
Lineage: Bacteria
Description: partial 16S ribosomal RNA
Rfam family: Bacterial small subunit ribosomal RNA
Source: RNAcentral